RNAcentral lists this transfer RNA (65 nucleotides) under Epicauta chinensis. RNAcentral describes it as "tRNA-Asp". It matches the Rfam family "tRNA". Rfam says of the family: Transfer RNA (tRNA) molecules are approximately 80 nucleotides in length. Their secondary structure includes four short double-helical elements and three loops (D, anti-codon, and T loops). Lineage: Eukaryota; Metazoa; Arthropoda; Insecta; Coleoptera; Meloidae. The record is from RNAcentral.
AAAAAUUUAGUUAAUUUAUAACAUUAGCUUGUCAAGCUGAAGUAAAUAUUAAAUAUUAAUUUUUG